GCGUAACGCGUGGGAAUCUGCCUGGUAGUGGGGGAUAACUCGGGGAAACUCGAGCUAAUACCGCAUAAAGCGGGGGACCUUCGGGCCUCGCGCUAUCAGAUGAGCCUGCGUCGGAUUAGCUAGUUGGUGGGGUAAUGGCCUACCAAGGCGACGAUCCGUAGCUGGUCUGAGAGGAUGAUCAGCCACACUGGGACUGAGACACGGCCCAGACUCCUACGGGAGGCAGCAGUGGGGAAUAUUGGACAAUGGGCGAAAGCCUGAUCCAGCAAUGCCGCGUGAGUGAUGAAGGCCUUAGGGUUGUAA
Molecule: ribosomal RNA, 303 nt
Filed under: uncultured Sphingomonas sp.
Lineage: Bacteria; Pseudomonadati; Pseudomonadota; Alphaproteobacteria; Sphingomonadales; Sphingomonadaceae
Description: bacterial SSU rRNA
Rfam family: Bacterial small subunit ribosomal RNA
Source: RNAcentral